RNAcentral lists this ribosomal RNA (612 nucleotides) under uncultured bacterium. Its description in RNAcentral is "bacterial SSU rRNA". It matches the Rfam family "Bacterial small subunit ribosomal RNA", at positions 338 to 951 of the family's 1533-position model. The record is from RNAcentral.
CCUACGGGAGGCAGCAGUAAGGAAUAUUGGACAAUGGUCGCAAGACUGAUCCAGCCAUGCCGCGUGCAGGAUGACGGCCCUAUGGGUUGUAAACUGCUUUUAUACGGGAAAAAACCCCUCUACGUGUAGAGGGCUGAUUGUACUGUAAGAAUAAGGAUCGGCUAACUCCGUGCCAGCAGCCGCGGUAAUACGGAGGAUCCAAGCGUUAUCCGGAUUCAUUGGGUUUAAAGGGUGCGUAGGCGGAAUAAUAAGUCAGUGGUGAAAGCCCUCAGCUUAACUGAGGAACUGCCAUUGAUACUGUUAAUCUUGAGUAUAUUUGAUGUGGGCGGAAUGUGUCAUGUAGCGGUGAAAUGCCUAGAUAUGACACAGAACACCGAUUGCGAAGGCAGCUCACAAAACUAUAACUGACGCUGAGGCACGAAAGCGUGGGUAUCAAACAGGAUUAGAUACCCUGGUAGUCCACGCUGUAAACUAUGAUUACUCGAUGUUUGCGAUACACUGUAAGCGUCUAAGCGAAAGCGAUAAGUAAUCCACCUGGGGAGUACGCCGGCAACGGUGAAACUCAAAUGAAUUGACCGGNUGAGACGNGCGAGGACGACACGAGGGAGGAGG